UGGGGAAUAUUGCACAAUGGGCGCAAGCCUGAUGCAGCCAUGCCGCGUGUGUGAAGAAGGCCUUCGGGUUGUAAAGCACUUUCAGCGAGGAGGAAGGUGGUGAACUUAAUACGCUCAUCAAUUGACGUUACUCGCAGAAGAAGCACCGGCUAACUCCGUGCCAGCAGCCGCGGUAAUACGGAGGGUGCAAGCGUUAAUCGGAAUUACUGGGCGUAAAGCGCACGCAGGCGGUUUGUUAAGUCAGAUGUGAAAUCCCCGGGCUCAACCUGGGAACUGCAUUUGAAACUGGCAAGCUAGAGUCUCGUAGAGGGGGGUAGAAUUCCAGGUGUAGCGGUGAAAUGCGUAGAGAUCUGGAGGAAUACCGGUGGCGAAGGCGGCCCCCUGGACGAAGACUGACGCUCAGGUGCGAAAAGCGUGGGGCAGCAAACAGGAUUAGAUACCCUGGUAGUCCACGCUGUAAAACGAUGUCGAUUUUGGAGGUUGUGCCCCUUGAGGCGUGGNUUCCGGAGCUAACGNGUUAAAUCGACCGCCNGGGGNGUACGGCCNCAAGGUUAAAACUUAAAUGAAUUGCGGGGUCUAGCUG
This 583-nucleotide ribosomal RNA is filed under the name uncultured bacterium. Its description in RNAcentral is "partial 16S ribosomal RNA". It matches the Rfam family "Bacterial small subunit ribosomal RNA", at positions 355 to 926 of the family's 1533-position model. The record is from RNAcentral.